GGAGCUGUGGCUCAGUGGUAGAGCAUCUCUUUGUCAUGCAGAAGGUCCCAGGUUCAAUCCCUGGUAUCUCCA
Molecule: non-coding RNA, 72 nt
Organism: Gekko japonicus
Lineage: Eukaryota; Metazoa; Chordata; Lepidosauria; Squamata; Gekkonidae
Source: the annotation of a RefSeq genome assembly